GACGAACGCUGGCGGCGUGCCUAAUACAUGCAAGUAGAACGCUGAAGGAGGAGCUUGCUUCUCUGGAUGAGUUGCGAACGGGUGAGUAACGCGUAGGUAACCUGCCUGGUAGCGGGGGAUAACUAUUGGAAACGAUAGCUAAUACCGCAUAAUAGUAGAUGUUGCAUGACAUUUGCUUAAAAGGUGCAAUUGCAUCACUACCAGAUGGCCCUGCGUUGUAUUAGCUAGUUGGUGGGGUAACGGCUCACCAAGGCGACGAUACAUAUCCGACCUGAGAGGGUGAUCGGCCACACUGGGAUUGAGACAAGGCCCAGACUCCCACGGGAGGCAGCAGUAGGGAGUCUUCGGCAAUGGGCGGAAGUCUGACCGAGCAACGACGCGUGAGUGAAGAAGGUUUUCGGAUCCUAAAGCUCUGUUGUAAGAGAAGAACGAGAGUGAGAGUGGAAAGUUCACACUGUGACGGUAACUUACCAGAAAGGGACGGCUAACUACGUG
RNAcentral lists this ribosomal RNA (495 nucleotides) under uncultured bacterium. RNAcentral describes it as "partial 16S ribosomal RNA". It matches the Rfam family "Bacterial small subunit ribosomal RNA", at positions 28 to 507 of the family's 1533-position model. The record is from RNAcentral.